GGGGAUAACAGGCUGAUACCGCCCAAGAGUUCACAUCGACGGCGGUGUUUGGCACCUCGAUGUCGGCUCAUCACAUCCUGGGGCUGAAGUCGGUCCCAAGGGUAUGGCUGUUCGCCAUUUAAAGUGGUACGCGAGCUGGGUUUAGAACGUCGUGAGACAGUUCGGUCCCUAUCUGCCGUGGGCGUUUGAGAAUUGAGAGGAGCUGCUCCUAGUACGAGAGGACCGGAGUGGACGAACCGCUGGUGUUCGGGUUGUCAUGCCAAUGGCAUUGCCCGGUAGCUAUGUUCGGAACGGAUAACCGC
RNAcentral lists this ribosomal RNA (302 nucleotides) under Symbiodinium sp. CCMP2430. Its description in RNAcentral is "partial Bacterial large subunit ribosomal RNA". It matches the Rfam family "Bacterial large subunit ribosomal RNA", at positions 2470 to 2771 of the family's 2925-position model. Lineage: Eukaryota; Dinophyceae; Suessiales; Symbiodiniaceae. The record is from RNAcentral.